CCUACGGGUGGCAGCAGUAAGGAAUAUUGGUCAAUGGGCGGAAGCCUGAACCAGCCAUGCCGCGUGGAGGACGACUGCCCUCUGUUGUAAACUCCUUUUACGGGGGACGCGGUACCCCGUGAAUAAACACCGGCUAACUCCGUGCCAGCAGCCGCGGUAAUACGGAGGGUGCGAGCGUUAUCCGGAUUCACUGGGUUUAAAGGGAGCGUAGGCGGGCAUGUAAGUCAGUGGUGAAAUCCCGGGGCUCAACCCCUGGACUGCCAUUGAUACUAUGUGCCUUGGAUGUUGUCGAGGUUUGCGGAAUACGUCAUGUAGCGGUGAAAUGCUUAGAUAUGACGUAGAACACCGAUUGCGAAGGCAGCAGCUAGCAAAUAUCGACGCUGAGGCUCGAAAGCGUGGGGAUCAAACAGGAUUAGAUACCCUUGUAGUC
RNAcentral lists this ribosomal RNA (430 nucleotides) under uncultured bacterium. RNAcentral describes it as "partial 16S ribosomal RNA". It matches the Rfam family "Bacterial small subunit ribosomal RNA", at positions 338 to 795 of the family's 1533-position model. The record is from RNAcentral.